UACGGAGGGGGCCAGCGUUGUUCGGAAUUAUUGGGCGUAAAGGGCGCGUAGGCGGCGAGGUAAGUCAGACGUGAAAUCCCCCGGCUCAACCGGGGAAUUGCGUCUGAAACUGCCCCGCUUGAGGCCGGGAGAGGAGAGUGGAAUUCCCAGUGUAGCGGUGAAAUGCGUAGAUAUUGGGAGGAACACCGGUGGCGAAGGCGGCUCUCUGGACCGGUUCUGACGCUGAGGCGCGAAAGCUAGGGGAGCAAACAGG
Molecule: ribosomal RNA, 253 nt
Filed under: uncultured bacterium
Lineage: Bacteria
Description: partial 16S ribosomal RNA
Rfam family: Bacterial small subunit ribosomal RNA
Source: RNAcentral